AUUUGGGGAAAAUGGCAACUUGUGUGAAGAAUUGUAAAUGUGACUUCCAUGGUGUAAGGGCCCCUGCACCAAAUCCAUGAAGAUGACACCCUAAAUUCUCCAAAUAUAUCCUUUUUUAUGUGAUGUAACAAAAAGGAUCUUAAUUACAGGGCCUAAAAUUUGUAUUAGUGGCUAAUUUGCACAAAUAAAAGAUCUCCAAAAUGUUUGCAGCAAAGAUAGGGUAAAAUUUUAUUCUGUCACUUCAGAUUUACAAUAAACUUUUAUAUCAGCAAUAUGUUAAAGACUUUGAUUUUUAGUAACUUAGCAUGAAGUGUGUUGGAUUGAAUAAAAUUUUAAAAAAAAAAUGUCAC
This 350-nucleotide long non-coding RNA is filed under the name Olea europaea (common olive). Its description in RNAcentral is "long non-coding RNA (OEUR_LNC012113)". Lineage: Eukaryota; Viridiplantae; Streptophyta; Magnoliopsida; Lamiales; Oleaceae. The record is from RNAcentral.